AUUUUGUGAGGCUGUCUUGUAGUUGGAACCAUGGCGGUUGAGGUUGUGGGAUUUGAGAUGGUUCAAGGCCCAGUGGAGAAUGGUGCUGAAGGAGGAAAACCUGUUUUACAUGAGAAGGAGAAUGGAAAGCUGGAAAAAGAUGUAGGAGCUGUGGAGGCCAUCAAAUUUGGGUCACAUGGAGAUGAAUCGGCAAAAGGGAAUGAUGUUUCUGAGGCGAAUGUGCCGAGAGAUGCUGCCGAAGAGUGGCCUGCACCUAAGCAGAUUCAUUCUUAUUAUUUUGUCAGGUGGAGGCCUUAUGAGGAUCCAACCAUAAAGUCUAAAAUUGAUUUGCUUGACAAAGAGAUUAGCAAGAAAAAUCAAGGCCGGUUUCAGAUCACUGAAGCACUGAAGGCAAAGCGGGUAAGUUGAGAAGAAUUCAUCUGGGUUGCUUGAUGAAAAGUAUCAUUAUGUAAUUGUGGUGUAAAAGAACUAAUUGUCAUUCUUUGCGACUCAAGCAGCAAACAACACAACCAGUAGCAAACAAUUGUUUUCAAAAUUAUAUUGAAAAUUUAUGCAGAAAAUGUAACUGUAAUUUAAACAUUUAUUUUGCCCAUUGAUGGUAGUCCAUUUGGUGCCAGCAAGCAUAGGAAAUAGUUGUGGAACAAAGUUCACUGGAAAAAUUACGAGAAAAAAAUUAAUGGGGCUUGCAUUCUUUCCAUGAGGUUAUUUUUGCAGAAUGAAAUGAAAAGAUGUGAUGAUUCUUUCUCAAUGAAGAUCUGACAUAAUUAUAUAUUCAUUGCAGUCAGAACGAGCUGAGUUGAUUUCUCAAAUCAAGUCUCUAAGAGGUGAUAGUAGGCAAUUUCAGAGUAUUGUGGAUGAGAAAAUAAAAGAGAUCGAACCUUUGCAGCAAGCACUGGGCAAGCUGCGCAAUACAAAUAAUGCGGGUCGGGGUGGUUUGUGUUCAUCUGAGGAAGAACUUAAUACUGUUGUAUGUUAUGAGUCUGAGUUCUUUUCAGUCCAUAGUUCAUCAAUUUGUCUAGUUAUCCCCACAUCUAUUCUCCAUUACUCAGUACUCCUUUGUGGUUGACGGAUGCAGAUAUAUAGUUUGCAGUACCGCAUACAGCAUGAGAGCAUUCCGUUGACUGAGGAAAAACAACUCCUCCGAGAAAUCAAACAGCUUGAGGGGACAAGGGAGAAAGUUAUUGCCAAUGCUGCAAUGAGAACCAAGUUACAGGAGUCUAUGGGGCAGAAAGAAGCCAUUCAAGAUCAGGUCAAGGUAAGGUGGUUUUAUUUGUUUAUGCUAAUGAAUUCCCCCCUGUUAAAACUAUUUUUAGUAAAUGUGUAUUAUUAUUAUUCAAAAGGUUCUUGAGAAAUUAACUUCCAUUGCAGCUUAUAGGUGGGGAUUUGGAUGGAGUGAAGAAAGAGAGAGAAGCGAUUCGGUCCAAAAUCAAGCAAAUCGACGAUGCCCUGAAAGCCAUUGACAAGGAUAUUCAGUCUCUACAGGAGGAACUGACAGCUGUAUCUCAGAAAAGGGACAAAUCUUUUGAGAGCAUGCAGCAGCUGAAAAGACAGCGUGAGGAGGGGGUAUGUUUCACUUUAAAAUAAGCAAUCCAGUGUGAUUUCUUUAGGAAAAGCUUGGUAAACUGGGUGGAAAAUCAAAAAGAAGAAUAUAUGGAAAAUGAAAAAGAAGAAUAUAUGGAAUGCGAAAGAGGAUGAAAUGUUAUUUUAAUUUCAUCUGGUGUUUAGGUAGAGAAGGUGGAGAAUGGGAUGUUGGAAAUAAUUUUGUUGAACCUUGUUUUUCCGUUCCCAUCUCAUUUGUAUGGAUAAAUGUUUGAAGAUUGAAUGAAACCUGUGCUAAACUAAUUUGUUUAUUUCAAUGCUAUGUAGCUUUGUGGAAUAAUAUCUGAAUUUGCAUUAAUAUUUACUUGUUCAGAAUUCCUAUUUCUAUCGAAGUCGUACAGUUCUGAACAAAGCACGGGAUCUGGCUGCCAAGAAAGAUAUUAAUGCUCUUGAUGAAGUUUCGCAGACAGAGGUCUGUCCUCAUAAUAUUGGUUCUUAUUAACUAUCCAAUUUUGGGUGAUCCAUUGCACUUUAACAACCUUCUGAUAACUUUUUCCUGCUUUUUUGACUGACGGUUGUGAUUGAAUCUUAUAUUUCCCCCUUGAUUCCAGGUUGAGACAUUUAUGGCACUGUGGAACAGUGACAAAGCAUUUAGGAAUGAUUAUGAAAAAAGAAUUUUGGCCUCAUUGGAUAUGCGUCAGUUAAGCCGGGAUGGACGGAUGAGGAACCCAGAUGAAAAGCCAAUACUGGAGGAACCAAAGCCUGCUGAAGCUGAAGCAAUACCAAAAACUGUUCCAAAACAGCCAAAGGAGGAGCCUAAGCCUUCUCCACAAGAAACUUUGCCUGCUCAGAAAGAAUCCAAAAACAAAGGGAGAGAUUUGAAAUCCAAACCAGACAUUAAGGAUUCAGCAGUAACUGAUGAAUAUGAAUUUGAAAAUCCCAAAAAGGCAACCCCUACCAACGAGCCUGAAAUUGAUCCUGCAAAGCUGAAAGAGAUGAAGCGUGAUGAGGAAAUUUUGAAAGCAAAGCAGGCUCUGGAAAGAAAGAAGAAGUUAGCUGACAAAGCUGCAGCCAAAGCAGCAAUCAGAGCACAAAAGGAAGCUGAGAAGAAGCUUAAGGUGAUUUGAUUGUUCAUUUCUUUUUGUCAUUCUGUAGUUAUACAUUUUCCAAAACCUGAAACCCGUUUUUAUAGGACCGUGAGAAGAAAGCAAAGAAGAAAGCUUCGGGUGCUGGAGUUGUUGCCAACCCUGAAGAUGAACCAAAAGAUGAUGUUGUUGAGGCUACUGAACCAGAAAAGGUUAACGAUGACAUUCAAGCCACUGCUCCUGUGAAGGAAAAGGUCCAAAGGGAGAGUGGUAUCAGGUCCAGGAACCGAGCAAGAGGCCCAGAUUCUGUUCCAAAAGUUAUUCUUAAGCGGAAGAAGUCUAACAAUUACUGGGUGUGGGUUGCAGUUGCUGCUUUGUUAGUUCUCCUUUUGGCGGUGCUUGGAUACAUCUAUCUUUUCUGAGAUGUUUAGAUGUAGAAGCUGUGAAAAAACAAUUUUCUAAGCUGGGUGGCUAGGUUUGUGAGGUAGCAUAAGUUAUAUUCAUGUUCUAUACACCCUCU
This 3144-nucleotide long non-coding RNA is filed under the name Phaseolus vulgaris (common bean). RNAcentral's name for it is "long non-coding RNA (PVUL_LNC002966)". The record is from RNAcentral. Lineage: Eukaryota; Viridiplantae; Streptophyta; Magnoliopsida; Fabales; Fabaceae.